UACGUAGGGUGCGAGCGUUGUCCGGAAUUAUUGGGCGUAAAGAGCUCGUAGGCGGUUUGUCGCGUCUGCUGUGAAAUCCCGAGGCUCAACCUCGGGCCUGCAGUGGGUACGGGCAGACUGGAGUGCGGUAGGGGAGAAUGGAAUUCCUGGUGUAGCGGUGGAAUGCGCAGAUAUCAGGAGGAACACCGAUGGCGAAGGCAGUUCUCUGGGCCGUAACUGACGCUGAGGAGCGAAAGCGUGGGGAGCGAACGGG
RNAcentral lists this ribosomal RNA (253 nucleotides) under uncultured bacterium. Its description in RNAcentral is "partial 16S ribosomal RNA". It matches the Rfam family "Bacterial small subunit ribosomal RNA", at positions 524 to 776 of the family's 1533-position model. The record is from RNAcentral.